This 2051-nucleotide long non-coding RNA is filed under the name Canis lupus familiaris (dog). Its description in RNAcentral is "lncRNA (ENSCAFG00040002463.1)". Lineage: Eukaryota; Metazoa; Chordata; Mammalia; Carnivora; Canidae. The record is from RNAcentral.
AUGGAAUGGGGAGACGUAAGCAACCACGCUGCGAGUGAACCUGUGAUAGGAUGGAGGUCUGACCUGAGGGUUCAGAGUCCAGAGGAAGAGCCACUAAUGAGGGUCCCGGAGGGGGUCUGCGUUGUGUGUCUUCUACACGUUGCUGUAACCUCGAGGAGCUUUGACGGCCGGCGUGGGCUAACCGGGGCCGUUUGCUCUCGCAGUGGGUUAAACCAUCCACGGAUAAGGCAUAGGAUCCGCCUGCCUGGCCCUGGGCCCUCACUGUGCUGCUCAUGGCUCCUGGCCAGGACCCUGCAUCGAAGCCCCUCUCCCCUGGGAGCAUGGAGGGACGGUCGCUGGUGGCACCAGGGAAGAGGUGCCUGCCUGGCGGGCUCGCAGCCACCUGGAAAGGGCACAGGUUCCCCUUGCCUGCUGGCCUGGCUGGGACUGACGCAUGGCCCCAGACAAGGCUUGAAGGGGGGUGAGGAAGGCCCUGUUGACACUGGAGUCAGUUCUUCCUUCAAACACUUGUGGAGGGCCUGCUGUGUGCUGUGAGUGGGGUUGGUGGCGGGAUACCCUGGCCUGUGGGCGACCGGUCACCACUCUGCUCCCACCCCAGACCCCUGGUCAGAAAGCUGCCACUAGGUCACAGGGAGAGGUGGCGCUGCAGCCGGACUGGUGCUCAGAGGAGACCUGCAGAUGCUGCGGGGGCAGAGCACCUAUGUGGGGAUCAGCCAGGGGAGUCUGGGGGGCCGAGGCUGGGGUGGGAAGGGGCCAGGGUCUGAGGUAGCACAUGGCAGGUGAGGGAGGGAGGGAAGGCCUCGGAGGGGGGACUUGGGGGUUCCUGACCAGGAGAGGGCAGGAGGGAGGCUGGGUCAGAGGGGCCAAGGGACAGUGGGACCCUCAUGUUGUCUUAUCACGUUGUCCGGAUGUCUGGACCCCUGUGUGGAGAGACAGAGGGAGGAUGGGAAGCUGUCAGGGUGAGCAGGCUGCCCGGGGCCUCAUGCAGGAGACCCCCGGGUGGACAGAGGGACGAGGAAAGCAUCCGAGUGACAGGAGGACGCAUCGCCAGCAGGGAGGGCAGGAAGGAAAGCCAUCCCGUGGCAGCCGGGCACACAGGCCAGCUGGGUCCACGGUCUAGGGCCAGGGUGGGAGGCUCAGGUGCCUCCCUCAAGCAUCAAGCACCCCUGGGUGCCCUCGAGGCCAAGGCUGUGCACUUAGUGGAGCGUGGAAUUGGGAGCAUAGUCCGAGUUCUCCAGGGCAGUGGAACCGCCAGGAUAUGUGUAUGGGGGAGAUCUGGGGAGAGACUGAGUUUAAGGAUCAGGCUCACGUGGUUGUGGGGCUGGCACUCCUGAAACCUGCAGGGCGGACCUGCAGGCUGGGACCCCCGGAGACCUGACACCGCGCUCGCAUCCAAAGGAGAACCCCUCCCCUCAAGGAACUCAGGCUUUUCUUUGGACAUCUUCAACUGAUGGGGUGUGGCCCACACACAACGUGGAGGAGGCUCAUCUGCUUCCUCAAAGUGGACUGACAAGGGUUAAUCUCACCUAGAAACCCUUCCCCUGGGCACUGCGGCCUGGCCAGGGGGACACGGGAACUGACGUCCCCGGGGCUCUGCAGGGCAAGGCUGUGCUUGGUUCUCACAACUGGGCAAGUCCCUGUUGGCCCCUCUGGGUGCUGGGGGCACUGGGGCCCCAGGGGCUAUGAGCCCCCACAAAUAAAGGUUACACCGUGCUCCGUCACACCCUCCUGAAGCAGGGGCACAAAUUCAUGGGGCAGCAUCCACUGUCACUUCAUCUGUGCUUUGCCAUUUGUUGGUCUGAAACCCCGGGAGCUUCCUGGGUGAAAUUCAAAGGGCCCAGGGGAGCAGCUGAGGAAAGACCCAGGCCCCUCCCGAUGGGGAGGCGGCUAUUUCAACAAGCCAGGGGACUUAGAGGGAGGCUAGCGGUGGGCGACCUCAAGGCCCGAAGCUCUCCGCACCUGCCUGCCAGGACCUUACAAGUUUGUAGAGCCGCCUUCAUGGGGUUCAGUCAUGUGUAGUGUCCAGUGGGUCCCAACACCACCUCAGUCUC